Molecule: ribosomal RNA, 460 nt
Filed under: uncultured bacterium
Lineage: Bacteria
Description: partial 16S ribosomal RNA
Rfam family: Bacterial small subunit ribosomal RNA
Source: RNAcentral
CCUACGGGAGGCAGCAGUGAGGAAUAUUGGUCAAUGGCCGGAAGGCUGAACCAGCCAUGCCGCGUGAAGGUCAGUGCCCUAUGGGCGUUAAACUUCUUUUGUGCGGGAGCAAUAAUGGUCACGUGUGGCCAGACGAGAGUACCGUACGAAUAAGCAUCGGCUAACUCCGUGCCAGCAGCCGCGGUAAUACGGGGGAUGCAAGCGUUAUCCGGAUUUAUUGGGUUUAAAGGGUGCGUAGGCUGUGAGGGAAGUCAGCGGUGAAAUGCCCCCGCUCAACGGGGUGAAGUGCCAUUGAUACUGCCUGGCUGGAAUGCGGAUGCCGUGGGAGGAAUGUGUGGUGUAGCGGUGAAAUGCAUAGAUAUCACACAGAACACCGAUUGCGAAGGCAUCUCACGAAUCCGCGAUUGACGCUGAUGCACGAAAGCGAGGGUAUCAAACAGGAUUAGAUACCCGAGUAGUC